CGCACAUUGCGCCCGCCAGUAUUCUAGCGGGCAUGCCUGUCCGAGCGUCAUUUCAACCCUCAAGCGUUGCUUCGCUUGGCGUUGGGGCUCUUACAGUGGGCAUUUACUGCCCUGUAAGCCCUAAAAUUCAGCGGCGAGCCAGUCAGCACACCGAGCGCAGUAAAACUACUUAGCUUAGGGCGUGUAGCUGGGCUUAGUCUGCCAACCAUACUUCUAAAAUUGACCUCGGAUCAGGUAGGAAUACCCGCUGAACUUAA
RNAcentral lists this unclassified non-coding RNA (257 nucleotides) under Protocrea pallida. RNAcentral describes it as "partial contains 5.8S ribosomal RNA, internal transcribed spacer 2, and large subunit ribosomal RNA". Lineage: Eukaryota; Fungi; Ascomycota; Sordariomycetes; Hypocreales; Hypocreaceae. The record is from RNAcentral.